CAGCAGCCGCGGGAAUACGGAGGGAGCUAGCGUUGUUCGGAAUUACUGGGCGUAAAGCGCGCGUAGGCGGUUACUCAAGUCAGAGGUGAAAGCCCGGGGCUCAACCCCGGAACUGCCUUUGAAACUAGGUGACUAGAAUCUUGGAGAGGUCAGUGGAAUUCCGAGUGUAGAGGUGAAAUUCGUAGAUAUUCGCAGGAACACCAGUGGCGAAGGCGGCUAACUGGUCCAUAACUGACGCUGAGGUGCGAAAGCGUGGGGAGCAAACAGGAUUAGAGACCCCCGUAGUCCCUGUCUCUUAUAC
Molecule: ribosomal RNA, 301 nt
Filed under: uncultured bacterium
Lineage: Bacteria
Description: partial 16S ribosomal RNA
Rfam family: Bacterial small subunit ribosomal RNA
Source: RNAcentral